AGUCCAUGGUCGUAGUAUUGUCCAGAUCGACCGCGAACUUCGUCACCUCCGUGUCACCGCCGGUCGGACCAAUGACCGACCUUAUCAGGCUCGUCUGACGACACUCUGUCUGGCUGACGAUGGUCGCGUCUUUGGUUCUUUCUCGACAGCCGCCGAUUGCGUGGGUGUUUCCUCAGCUGUUUUUCGUACGUGCACGUAUCCGUGUGCGAUGCAGUGACCGUUUUUCUUUAUUUUAUCGUCAAAGUCUGUUUUACGUGUAUAUUUUGCAGACCGAUUGACGACAGCGUUUAGUCCGUUAAUUCUGCACCGUUGUGAAUUAGCGUGUGCAUGGGUACGGAUCACCGUUCUUUUUUUUGUUACGCGUCGGUCGUUACAACACCGAAAUCGGUCGUUUACCCGCGCGGACCUUUAACUUUUCUGGUCUAUCAUUGUGAGUCACGUGUGCGUCGUUUCGCAUCUUUCACCUCGUGUGUGACGACGUCCGUUUUUUUCGGUUUUUCCCGUAUUGUAUAUACGCCACUGUUGUGACAUAUCCACUGUGGAAAUUCACUUUUCAACGCCUCCAUCGUUGGUAUUCAGCUGGUUCAGAUUGGCAACGCUACCGCCUAUAUCAUUAAUUGGGCUCUCAUAUCUAUACCGGGUGACGUAUUCAUUAUUAUUACGGUUUAUAAUAAUGUAUAAUAUACUCGUGUAUACAAUUAGUAGCCAUAUUUAUUCUACGAAUCACGAGACGCAUCCAAAUACAGCUGAAAAAUAUUUUUUUUUUCUAAACUUAAACAUUUCCCAUAUGUUUUGCUAAUGAUUCCGCGGAAUAUUACGGAUAAUCGAGUGUAUACCGUAUUGGUUUUAAAUAAAUCACUUACGUUUACUGCAACAUGGAUACAAAUUAUGAAUAUUUAAUGUUGAAAGAACAAAUAAGAAAAGUCAUAGAUAAUUAACUCUUAAAAAUACCAGGUAUAUAAAAAUCUUAAAAUUAUAUUAAAAUAAAAAUAGCAGGAUAUCUUACUAAUAAAAUAAAUCUAAAAUUUAAUUUUAAGUCAUCUACGAAAAUGCCUUAUAUUUUAAAACAUAGGUACUUACCCAAACUUUUAUAUGUAUAAUAAGAUACGAUUUCCAGGCACGGCGUUGCAGCUAUUAUAACAAAUUUGAAUAUAAUACUCAUUUUUAAAUGUUUUUAAUGACAACACAAAGACAAGACUGAAGUAUUAAAUUUGUUAAUAUGUACAUUGUACAUGGUUGCGAAUGAAAGUAAUCGAGAUUAAAUAUGAGUGGCCAUAAAAGAAACAGUGAGAGUGAAAAUGAAAAUUCACAGCAUCUGGAAAAAAAAAACCAAAUUUAACGAUGGACAUCUUGACGAUCAAACAAAAAAACACGCAUUCUCCGGAUGCUCAAAGUUCAGUAUACGAGACACAACACAGUCAUACAAGGCAGAGUAUUUUCUGACAUGCACUUGCACAGAUCGCGAAUCACUUUAGAGACUCGUCGCCUUGCUCGUCGCUAUACAUGCUUCAAAUAAAUUGCUAACAUGGGCAUAUCCGGACAUGGCUUCAUCCAUUGGAUAUAAUCUAAGGUAAAAAAGAAGAAAUUUGAUCAAUGAAGUCUGUAAUUAAAAAUACUGGAAAAAACUUAAUGUGUUGUCCAAAACAAACUUAGUAAUUUAAACCUACUAUAAGAAUAAUAAAUUACUUCUGAAGACCCUUCAACUUUUUAGAAUCUUGGCCAUGUAAGAUAUAAUGGACCUACAGGGUCGUUUAACAUGAUUCGGAGAAUUGACGGAAUCCAAACAUUACAAAUAAUCUAGUUAAUUCCUAUUUCUUAAGAUUUUUUUUUGUUAAUGGUUUUUUUUUUAAAUGACAAUUUUAAUUUGAUUUUUAACGAUAUAUAUAC
Molecule: long non-coding RNA, 1887 nt
Organism: Aphis gossypii (cotton aphid)
Lineage: Eukaryota; Metazoa; Arthropoda; Insecta; Hemiptera; Aphididae
Exons: 4
Source: RefSeq, a predicted model, not a curated record